Molecule: ribosomal RNA, 253 nt
Filed under: uncultured bacterium
Lineage: Bacteria
Description: partial 16S ribosomal RNA
Rfam family: Bacterial small subunit ribosomal RNA
Source: RNAcentral
UACGAAGGGUGCAAGCGUUACUCGGAAUUACUGGGCGUAAAGAGCGCGCAGGCGGUCGAUCAAGUCGAGUGUGAAAGCCCCCGGCUCAACUGGGGAGGGUCAUUCGAUACUGAUCGACUCGAAGGCAGGAGAGGGUAGUGGAAUUCCCGGUGUAGUGGUGAAAUGCGUAGAUAUCGGGAGGAACACCAGUGGCGAAGGCGACUACCUGGCCUGUUCUUGACGCUGAGGCGCGAAAGCUAGGGGAGCAAACGGG